AAUGAACGCUGGCGGCAGGCCUAACACAUGCAAGUCGAACGAGGUAGCAAUACCUAGUGGCGGACGGGUGAGUAACACGUGGAACGUACCCUUUGCUACGGAAUAGCCCCUGGGAAACUGGGAGUAAUACCGUAUGAGCCCGAGAGGGAAAGAUUUAUCGGCAAAGGAUCGGCCCACGUUGGAUUAGGUAGUUGGUGGGGUAAUGGCCUACCAAGCCGACGAUCCAUAGCUGGUUUGAGAGGAUGAUCAGCCACACUGGGACUGAGACACGGCCCAGACUCCUACGGGAGGCAGCAGUGGGGAAUCUUAGACAAUGGGGGAAACCCUGAUCUAGCCAUGCCGCGUGAUCGAUGAAGGCCUUAGGGUUGUAAAGAUCUUUCAGGUGGGAAGAUAAUGACUGUACCACCAGAAGAAG
Molecule: ribosomal RNA, 415 nt
Filed under: uncultured bacterium
Lineage: Bacteria
Description: bacterial SSU rRNA
Rfam family: Bacterial small subunit ribosomal RNA
Source: RNAcentral